UGGGGAAUAUUGGACAAUGGGCGAAAGCCUGAUCCAGCCAUGCCGCGUGUGUGAAGAAGGUCUUCGGAUUGUAAAGCACUUUAAGUUGGGAGGAAGGGCAGUAAGCGAAUACCUUGCUGUUUUGACGUUACCGACAGAAUAAGCACCGGCUAACUCUGUGCCAGCAGCCGCGGUAAUACAGAGGGUGCAAGCGUUAAUCGGAAUUACUGGGCGUAAAGCGCGCGUAGGUGGUUCGUUAAGUUGAGUGUGAAAGCCCCGGGCUCAACCUGGGAACUGCAUCCAAAACUGGCGAGCUAGAGUAGGGCAGAGGGUGGUGGAAUUUCCUGUGUAGCGGUGAAAUGCGUAGAUAUAGGAAGGAACACCAGUGGCGAAGGCGACCACCUGGGGUCAUACUGACACUGAGGUGCGAAAGCGUGGGGAGCAAACAGG
This 429-nucleotide ribosomal RNA is filed under the name Pseudomonadota bacterium. Its description in RNAcentral is "Proteobacteria bacterium partial 16S ribosomal RNA". It matches the Rfam family "Bacterial small subunit ribosomal RNA", at positions 355 to 776 of the family's 1533-position model. Lineage: Bacteria; Pseudomonadati; Pseudomonadota. The record is from RNAcentral.